Molecule: ribosomal RNA, 440 nt
Filed under: uncultured bacterium
Lineage: Bacteria
Description: partial 16S ribosomal RNA
Rfam family: Bacterial small subunit ribosomal RNA
Source: RNAcentral
CCUACGGGGGACAGCAGUGGGGGAUAUUGCACAAUGGGGGAAACCCUGAUGCAGCGACGCCGCGUGUGGGAAGACGGUCCUCUGGAUUGUAAACCACUGUCCCCAGGGACGAAAAUGUCGGUCCCUGGGGCGGCAGCUCCGGCUAACUACGUGCCAGCAGCCGCGGUACGACGUAGGGAGCGCGCGUUGUCCGGAAUUACUGGGUGUAAAGGGAGCGUAGGCGGGGAUGCAAGUUGGGGGUCAAAACUACCGGCUCAACUGGUAGUCGCACUCAAAACUGCAGCUCUUGAGUGAAGUAGAGGCAGGCGGAAUUCCUGGUGUAGCGGUGAAAUGCGUAGAUAUUAGGAGGAACACCAGUGGCGAAGGCGGCCUGCUGGGCUUUGACUGACGCUGAGGCUCGAAAGUGUGGGGAGCGAACAGGAUUAGAUACCCGGGUAGUC